RNAcentral lists this ribosomal RNA (301 nucleotides) under uncultured bacterium. RNAcentral's name for it is "partial 16S ribosomal RNA". It matches the Rfam family "Bacterial small subunit ribosomal RNA", at positions 509 to 807 of the family's 1533-position model. The record is from RNAcentral.
CAGUAGCCGCGGUAAGACAGAGGAUGCAAGCGUUAUCCGGAAUGAUUGGGCGUAAAGCGUCUGUAGGUGGUUGUUUAAGUCUGUCGUGAAAGCCCUGGGCUCAACCUGGGAAUUGCGAUGGAUACUGGGCGACUAGAGUGCGGUAGAGGAUAGUGGAAUUUCCGGUGUAGCAGUGAAAUGCGUAGAGAUCGGAAGGAACAUCUGUGGCGAAGGCGACUAUCUGGGCCAACACUGACACUGAGACACGAAAGCGUGGGGAGCAAACAGGAUUAGAUACCCCAGUAGUCCCUGUCUCUUAUAC